GACGAACGCUGGCGGCGUGCUUAACACAUGCAAGUCGAACGGAAAGGCCCUGCUUUUGUGGUGUGCUCGAGUGGCGAACGGGUGAGUAACACGUGAGUAACCUGCCCUUGACUUUGGGAUAUCUUCAGGAAACUGGGGCUAAUACCCGAUAGAAGCUCCUGCUGCAUGGUGGUGGUUGGAAAGUUUCGGCGGUUGGGUAUGGACUCGCGGCUUAUCAGCUUGUUGGUGGGGUAGUGGCUUACCAAGGCUGUGACGGGUAGCCGGCCUGAGAGGGUGACCGGCCACAUUGGGACUGAGAUACGGCCCAGACUCCUACGGGAGGCAGCAGUGGGGAAUAUUGCACAAUGGGCGGAAGCCUGAUGCAGCAACGCCGCGUGCGGGAUGACGGCCUUCGGGUUGUAAACCGCUUUCGCCUGUGACGAAGCGUGAGUGACGGUAAUGGGUAAAGAAGCACCGGCUAACUACGUG
This 468-nucleotide ribosomal RNA is filed under the name uncultured bacterium. Its description in RNAcentral is "partial 16S ribosomal RNA". It matches the Rfam family "Bacterial small subunit ribosomal RNA", at positions 28 to 507 of the family's 1533-position model. The record is from RNAcentral.